This is a non-coding RNA of Elaeis guineensis (African oil palm), 885 nucleotides long. The record is from RefSeq and is a predicted model, not a curated record. NCBI's taxonomy places the organism in Eukaryota, Viridiplantae, Streptophyta, Magnoliopsida, Arecales, Arecaceae.
GCAAUGGGCAUGAAGUGGAGCACGUAAGGGCUUAAAAGAGGAGGGGACCCACACGAUGGACAUCUUGGUAUAACUGGGAGCAUGGAGCUAUGCAUGGGAUGCGCGUUGGAUCCAUGUGCUGUGCAUGGAAUGGAUGUUGGGUGCGGCUUGGCUUGGGCAUGCUUGCAGAGGCAAAAUAAAGGAGGGCUGGCUCAUGAAAAUAGGAACUCAAUGGUUUGGGAAGCAUUUGGACGUGAACGUGUGGGACCAAGCAAGCGGGUGCAAUUUGAAUCCGCGGGAUGUUUUGGCAGGCUUCUAUUGCAAACCAAAGUGGGCGGCAUGCGGUUCAAACGAGGAAGCUUCGCGUGCGCUUUAAAUGAAUGCGCUUAAUGUGCGCGAAAACUGACGAGUAGGGGUGAACACGAAAGUGGGAACUGGUGAGCGCGCGUAGAUUCAAAAGUGCUAGAUUCACGUGGGUGUGCAGCGGACCGACGGUUUAAAUGCGUUGGUUCGUACGAAUAAAAAGCACAAACCUGUUGGAUGCGAAGCGAUAAGAUGAAGCGGGCAGAACAAACGCGAUGGGUUGUUGGACGCGACACGGAAUAAACGCGUGGUAUGAAGUUUAUAAAAAGAAAGCCGCAGAGGAUCAAAGCGGGGAUUUUUUCAGGCCACAAGCCGAAGGACGGGUCGUGAUCUAAUGGGUACGAGCCAUGUUCCCAUCAGAUAGGUUGUAUCUUGAUAGGUGACAUAUAGACUCGUUACAUCGAAGGAGGAUAUUAACUGUCUAUCAGGUAACCAGAUUCCUGUAUAUGGCAUUGAUGGAAAAAGAAGUAGAUAUGGCUUCGACGAGGGAAAGCAAUGCAACGAGAAGUCUUGCCUUUGACCAGUGAGUGGUAUACAGUGCAG